Poecilia formosa (Amazon molly) is the source of this 46-nucleotide non-coding RNA. The record is from Rfam. Lineage: Eukaryota; Metazoa; Chordata; Actinopteri; Cyprinodontiformes; Poeciliidae.
AACAAGGUUUUAUUUAAAACCAUGUUUUAAAUAAAACAAGGUUUCA